CGCACAGUCCGGUGCAAGUUAUUCCAGCCCCUCGCAGGUGCCGUGCUAGAGCGGGCAUCCAGCCUGGUAGGAGGAUGCCUGCGCAGCGCAUCUGGUCGCCGGUACGCCUCCGAGGACCAGGCUACCCAACUCCCGCUCUACGCACGGCUACCAUCAAGCCCCUGCACAGCCCAGUCUGCCCUGUACGAGCACUCCGCUCGUGCAGGGCUACUAGUUCCAUCGAGCCAAGGCGGGUUGUGCAGGAGGUAAGAUCUAGACCGGCUGUGCGCCUCCAUAGCCCUGGGUUUCCAGCUCCUGUCUCUCGUGCGGACCCGGAAGUGCGUCCACCCAGUCCGACUCGUCCUGUUCCCGCUCCCCGCACUAAACGGCAAGUGCGUAAACCCAGCCUCGCGAGUCAACAGUCGUCGGAGCUGCCCGCCAGUCAACAGUCGUCGGAGCUGCCCGCCAGUCAACAGUCGUCGGAGCUGCCCGCCAGUCAACAGUCGUCGGAGCUGCCCGCCAGUCAACAGUCGUCGGAGCUGCCCGCCAGUCAACAGUCGUCGGAGCUGCCCGCCAGUCAACAGUCGUCGGAGCUGCCGCCAGUCAACAGUCGUCGGAGCUGCCCGCCAGUCAACAGUCGUCGAGCUGCCCGCCAGUCAACAGUCGUCGGAGCUGCCCGUCAGUCAACAGUCGUCGGAGCUGCCCGUCAGUCAACAGUCGUCGGAGGCUGCCCGUCAGUCACAGUCGUCGGAGCUGCCCGUCAGUCAACAGUCGUCGGAGCUGCCCGUCAGUCAACAGUCGUCGGAGCUGCCCGUCAGUCAACAGUCGUCGGAGCUGCCCGUCAGUCAACAGUCGUCGGAGUGGUCAGACUGCGCUGAACUGCCGGAGUGGCCAGACUGCGCUGAACUGCGGAUAGUGGCCAGACUGCGCGGACUGCCGGAGUGGCCAGACUGCGCUGAACUGCCGGAGUGGCCAGACUGCGCUGAACUGCCGGAGUGGCCAGACUGCGCUGAACUGCCGGAGUGGCCAGACUGCGCUGAACUGCCGGAGUGGCCG
Molecule: long non-coding RNA, 1035 nt
Filed under: Salmo trutta (river trout)
Lineage: Eukaryota; Metazoa; Chordata; Actinopteri; Salmoniformes; Salmonidae
Description: lncRNA (ENSSTUG00000017423.1)
Source: RNAcentral